RNAcentral lists this long non-coding RNA (1312 nucleotides) under Junco hyemalis (dark-eyed junco). RNAcentral's name for it is "lncRNA (ENSJHYG00000017346.1)". Lineage: Eukaryota; Metazoa; Chordata; Aves; Passeriformes; Passerellidae. The record is from RNAcentral.
GUGCCUAACACGCUCCUGCUGGUUUUGUUUCGGUUUCUUGUCAGAGGGAGCUGUCGGUGGUGCUGAACUAGGGGUGAGUUUGUGCCAUGUGAACAUCCUCGGGGGAUGCAGCCUCUGCCUCCACUCUGUGCUCCCAGAACUAUUUCUAGGCAUUCCUGGCUGUUGUGGAAGUUGGCAUCAGUGCCACAGAGAGCUGAGCGCCAGGUCCUCCCUACCAGCACACCCUCAGAGUGUGGGAGGGUAAAUGAGACUCAGCUGAGCCACGUCCACCCAGAAUUUACUGUGAGAGUUGGGUUCUGCACCAAGACUUGAACGUGGCACAUUGAAUGUGACCUUCAAGCAGCUCCUCCAGGUCCCCACACUGCAGAGCUGAGCAAACAGGGUAAUAUUUACACUCAGCAACUUUUGGAAGACGCUUCUAUUCUUCUCAAAUCUCAAUGACACGCAUCUUUUAUAGAUGAAUUAAUUUCUGCAGCUUUUAUUGUCUAGCCUAUUCCUGGCUACGGAGUGAAAGCGUUGACCUUGACUCAAGAAAUCCAUAGAGUUUAGAAGGAAUCAAUUUAAAACAUGGAGCGCUUGUGAAGGAGGUAAAUCUGCUCCAACACUCUGAACUAUGUGGGCUGGCAGAUCAUGACUGCAAUGCUUCCUAACUCUGCCAGCACCUCUGCCUUGCUGACAUUUUCAUCUUGACCUGAAUAUAUAAAACCCAGUUAUGCUUCUUGUUAUUAUCUCAUACCAGUUGGUGCAAUAUGGCCAUACAGGGAAAAGUCAUUAGGCCUGCAGAUAAACUAGGUUUUCCUUGCCUGCUCAAGAGAUAUAAAUCAGUCACAACUUAACUUUCCUAUUCCUUUUUUCCAUGUAUUUUCGUCCUCCUUCAAACUGUAGUUUCUGUGUAUAAAUACCAAUAUCAUUUAAAGGUAAAGAAUUAGGAAGGGAAAACUUAUAAAAUAUGAAUUCAAAUGUGUAGCUGUUUCUCUUCCUAAUUUUAAACUUCAUCUGGGAAAAUCCCUUUUGUCAUGAAGCCAUGUGCCCAAAAAGAUUAAUCAAGGAAACGAAAAUGACUUUUUUGCAAUGAGAUUUUAGUUGAUAAAUGUUUGCAAAGCACUCUUGAGACUUUCACAAGAUUAAAAUGCACAUGUUUGUAGGAGAAUGAUGUUAGCAAACCAAUGUCCUAGUGCUGCAUCCAAGGGCUGCUGAUGGAGUACUCUGAAUUAUUUAAAGUAUAAAUGUGUAAAGAUGCCUUUUCAGAUUCCUCACAGACUCAAAUUCAGUGUUAUUUCUCCUGUUGCUGCUCCUUUUUUGUGUGUUGUUU